RNAcentral lists this ribosomal RNA (430 nucleotides) under Bacteroidota bacterium. RNAcentral's name for it is "Bacteroidetes bacterium partial 16S ribosomal RNA". It matches the Rfam family "Bacterial small subunit ribosomal RNA", at positions 355 to 776 of the family's 1533-position model. Lineage: Bacteria; Pseudomonadati; Bacteroidota. The record is from RNAcentral.
UAGGGAAUCUUCGGCAAUGGGGGGAACCCUGACCGAGCAACGCCGCGUGAGUGAAGAAGGUUUUCGGAUCGUAAAGCUCUGUUGUUAAGGAAGAACGAGUGUGAGAAUGGAAAGUUCAUGCUGUGACGGUACUUAACCAGAAAGCCACGGCUAACUACGUGCCAGCAGCCGCGGUAAUACGUAGGUGGCAAGCGUUGUCCGGAUUUAUUGGGCGUAAAGCGAGCGCAGGCGGUCAAUUAAGUCUGAUGUGAAAGCCCCCGGCUCAACCGGGGAGGGUCAGUGGAAACUGGUAGACUUGAGUGCAGAAGAGGAGAGUGGAAUUCCAUGUGUAGCGGUGAAAUGCGUAGAUAUAUGGAGGAACACCAGUGGCGAAGGCGACUCUCUGGUCUGUAACUGACGCUGAGGCUCGAAAGCGUGGGUAGCAAACAGG